This 61-nucleotide microRNA precursor is filed under the name Sarcophilus harrisii (Tasmanian devil). RNAcentral describes it as "Sha-Mir-12475-P25_pre stem-loop". The record is from RNAcentral. Lineage: Eukaryota; Metazoa; Chordata; Mammalia; Dasyuromorphia; Dasyuridae.
UAGCCUUUCUGAAAUCACAUUGUUUGUAUGACUCGCUGAACAAUGUGUCUCAGAUUGGUGU